This 561-nucleotide ribosomal RNA is filed under the name uncultured archaeon. RNAcentral's name for it is "bacterial SSU rRNA". It matches the Rfam family "Archaeal small subunit ribosomal RNA", at positions 317 to 879 of the family's 1478-position model. The record is from RNAcentral.
UUCGCCCUUCGGGGUGCCCAGGCGCGAAAACUUUACAAUGCCGGCAACGGCGAUAAGGGAACCUCGAGUGCCAGGUUACAAAUCUGGCUGUCGUGAUGCCUAAAAAGCAUUGCAUAGCAAGGGCCGGGCAAGACCGGUGCCAGCCGCCGCGGUAACACCGGCGGCUCGAGUGGUAACCGUUAUUAUUGGGUCUAAAGGGUCUGUAGCCGGCCGGGUAAGUCUCUUGGGAAAUCUGGCAGCUUAACUGUCAGGCUUUCAGGAGAUACUGCCUGGCUCGAGGCCGGGAGAGGUGAGAGGUACUUCAGGGGUAGGGGUGAAAUCUUGUAAUCCUUGAAGGACCACCAGUGGCGAAGGCGUCUCACCAGAACGGACCUGACGGCAAGGGACGAAAGCUAGGGGCACGAACCGGAUUAGAUACCCGGGUAGUCCUAGCCGUAAACGAUACUCGCUAGGUGUCGGCCACGGUGCGACCGUGGUCGGUGCCGUAGGGAAGCCGUGAAGCGAGCCACCUGGGAAGUACGGCCGCAAGGCUGAAACUUAAAGGAAUUGGCGGGGGAGCAC